Molecule: ribosomal RNA, 454 nt
Filed under: uncultured bacterium
Lineage: Bacteria
Description: partial 16S ribosomal RNA
Rfam family: Bacterial small subunit ribosomal RNA
Source: RNAcentral
GAUGAACGCUGACAGAAUGCUUAACACAUGCAAGUCAACUUGAACUUCGGUUUGGGUGGCGGACGGGUGAGUAACGCGUAAAGAACUUGCCUCACAGUUAGGGACAACAUUUGGAAACGAAUGCUAAUACCUGAUAUUAUGAUUUUAGGGCAUCCUAGAAUUAUGAAAGCUAUAUGCGCUGUGAGAGAGCUUUGCGUCCCAUUAGCUAGUUGGAGAGGUAACGGCUCACCAAGGCGAUGAUGGGUAGCCGGCCUGAGAGGGUGAACGGCCACAAGGGGACUGAGACACGGCCCUUACUCCUACGGGAGGCAGCAGUGGGGAAUAUUGGACAAUGGACCAAGAGUCUGAUCCAGCAAUUCUGUGUGCACGAUGAAGUUUUUCGGAAUGUAAAGUGCUUUCAGUUGGGAAGAAAAAAAUUACGAUACCAACAGAAGAAGUGACGGCUAAAUACGUG